AUUAAGCCAUGCAUGUGUAAGUAUUAAUGAGAUUUUAAUAGUGAAACUGCGAAUGGCUCAAUAAAACAGUUAUAGUUUAUUCGAUGAUAUUAAAAGUUUAUUUGGAAUAACCGCAGUAAUUCUGGGGCUAAUACAUGCUUAAAGGAAUAUUCAUUUAAAAAGGAUAUUUUACCUGUAUUUAUUAGACUUGAAAAUUGGUAAUGUAGUAAUACAUUUCUUAAAAGGUUGAACCAUAAUAACUAUGUUGUAACAAACAUAAAACGAAUCGUAUUUAACCCUUCGAGGUUGACGAUGAAUCGUUCAAGUUUCUGACCUAUCAAUUCAAGAAGGUAGUGUAUUGGACCACCUUGAUUGUAACGGGUACGGAGAAUUAGGGUUCGAUUCCGGAGAGGGAGCCUGAGAAACGGCUACCACUUCCAAGGAAGGCAGC
RNAcentral lists this ribosomal RNA (430 nucleotides) under uncultured eukaryote. Its description in RNAcentral is "bacterial SSU rRNA". It matches the Rfam family "Eukaryotic small subunit ribosomal RNA", at positions 43 to 429 of the family's 1831-position model. The record is from RNAcentral.